Molecule: ribosomal RNA, 275 nt
Filed under: uncultured Neochlamydia sp.
Lineage: Bacteria; Pseudomonadati; Chlamydiota; Chlamydiia; Parachlamydiales; Parachlamydiaceae
Description: partial 16S ribosomal RNA
Rfam family: Bacterial small subunit ribosomal RNA
Source: RNAcentral
CCUACGGGUGGCUGCAGUCGAGAAUCUUUCGCAAUGGGCGAAAGCCUGACGAAGCGACGCCGUGUGAGCGAAGAAGGCCUUCGGGUUGUAAAGCUCUUUCGCCUACGAACAAGAAAAAGAAGUGAAUAAUUUCUUAAUUUGAGGGUACUAGGUAAAGAAGCACCGGCUAACUCCGUGCCAGCAGCUGCGGUAAUACGGAGGGUGCAAGCAUUAAUCGGAAUUAUUGGGCGUAAAGGGCGCGUAGGCGGAUUUAUAAGUCAGAUGUGAAAUUCCAA